GGAUCAUUACAAAAAAACGCGAGUCGCGAGGCUCGUCGUCAAAACCAUCGCGAACGUUACCCCCUUCGUCCAGUCGUUGCUUCGGCGGGCGGGCGGCCCCCCCCGACAGGGAGGAGCCGCGAGCCCGCCGGAGGGACGCCGCAACUCUUUUAUUCUCUAGCGUCUCUCUGAGUAGAUACAGCGAAACAAGUAAAAACUUUCAACAACGGAUCUCUUGGUUCCGGCAUCGAUGAAGAACGCAGCGAAAUGCGAUAAGUAAUGUGAAUUGCAGAAUUCAGUGAAUCAUCGAAUCUUUGAACGCACAUUGCGCCCGCCAGUAUUCUGGCGGGCAUGCCUGUCCGAGCGUCAUUUACAACCCUCAAGCCUUCCGGCUUGGUGUUGGGGCGACUACGCGCGCCGUAGGCCCCGAAUUUCAGUGGCGGGCUCGCCGCGACCCCGAGCGUAGUAGCAUAAACUCGCUCCAGGGCGCGCCGCGGCGGGCGCCGGCCGUAAAAACAACCACACGAAACAAAGGUUGACCUCGGAUCAGGUAGGAAUACCCGCUGAACUUAAGCAUAUCAAUAAGCGGAGGAAAAGAAACCAACAGGGAUUGCCCCAGUAACGGCGAGUGAAGCGGCAACAGCUCAAAUUUGAAAUCUGGCCUCGGCCCGAGUUGUAAUUUGCAGAGGAUGCUUUUGGCGCGGCCCCUUCUGAGUCCCCUGGAACGGGGCGCCGGAGAGGGUGAGAGCCCCGUAUAGUAGGACGCCUAGCCUGUGUAAAGCUCCUUCGACGAGUCGAGUAGUUUGGGAAUGCUGCUCAAAACGGGAGGUAAAUUCCUUCUAAAGCUAAAUACCGGCCGGAGACCGAUAGCGCACAAGUAGAGUGAUCGAAAGAUGAAAAGCACUUUGAAAAGAGGGUCAAACAGCACGUGAAAUUGUUGAAAGGGAAGCGCUCGUGACCAGACUUGCGCCGGGGCGAUCAUCCGGUGUUCUCACCGGUGCACUCGCCCCGGCUCAGGCCAGCAUCGGUUUUCGUGGGGGGACAAAAGCCCGGGGAACGUGGCCCCUCCGGGGGCGUUAUAGCCCCGGGCACAAUACCCUCGCGGGGACCGAGGCCCGCG
Molecule: ribosomal RNA, 1099 nt
Filed under: Sordariomycetes sp. genotype 412
Lineage: Eukaryota; Fungi; Ascomycota; Sordariomycetes
Description: eukaryotic LSU rRNA
Rfam family: Eukaryotic large subunit ribosomal RNA (bases 516-1099)
Source: RNAcentral